This 115-nucleotide ribosomal RNA is filed under the name Deltaproteobacteria bacterium. The record is from RNAcentral. Lineage: Bacteria; Pseudomonadati; Myxococcota; Myxococcia.
CUCGGUGGCUAUGGCGGAGGGGAUCUACCCGAUCCCAUCUCGAACUCGGUCGUCAAGCCCUCCAGCGUCGAUGGUACUGCACAGGUGACUGUGUGAGAGUAGAACGCCGCCGGGG